Molecule: ribosomal RNA, 489 nt
Filed under: uncultured Lachnospiraceae bacterium
Lineage: Bacteria; Bacillati; Bacillota; Clostridia; Lachnospirales; Lachnospiraceae
Description: bacterial SSU rRNA
Rfam family: Bacterial small subunit ribosomal RNA
Source: RNAcentral
AGAGUUUGAUCCUGGCUCAGGAUGAACGCUGGCGGCGUGCCUAACACAUGGCAAGUCGAACGGGGACAGCGGAAACCUAGUGAAGUCUGUCCGAGUGGCGGACGGGUGAGUAACGCGUGGAUAACCUGCCGCAUGCAGGGGGAUACCGGCUGGAAACAGCCGCUAAUACCGCAUAAGCGCACGGUGCCGCAUGGCAGAGUGCGAAAAGGAGAAAUCCGGCAAGCGAUGGAUCCGCGUCCGAUUAGCCAGUUGCGGGUAAGGGCCCACCAAAGCGACGAUCGGUAGCCGGCCUGAGAGGGCGGACGGCCACAUUGGGACUGAGACACGGCCCAGACUCCUACGGGAGGCAGCAGUGGGGGAUAUUGCACAAUGGGGGAAACCCUGAUGCAGCGACGCCGCGUGGGUGAUGAAGUAUUUCGGUAUGUAAAGCCCUACCAGCAGGGAAGAAAGAAGACGGUACCUGACUAAGAAGCCCCGGCUAACUACGUG